This 484-nucleotide ribosomal RNA is filed under the name uncultured bacterium. RNAcentral's name for it is "partial 16S ribosomal RNA". It matches the Rfam family "Bacterial small subunit ribosomal RNA", at positions 29 to 507 of the family's 1533-position model. The record is from RNAcentral.
AUUGAACGCUGGCGGCAUGCUUUACACAUGCAAGUCGAACGGCAGCGCGGGCUUCGGCCUGGCGGCGAGUGGCGAACGGGUGAGUAAUACAUCGGAACGUGCCCAGUAGUGGGGGAUAGCUCGGCGAAAGCAGGAUUAAUACCGCAUACGACCUGAGGGUGAAAGCGGGGGAUCUUCGGACCUCGCGCUAUGGGAGCGGCCGAUGCGAGAUUAGCUAGUUGGUGGGGUAAAGGCCUACCAAGGCGACGAUCUGUAGCUGGUCUGAGAGGACGAGCAGCCACACUGGGACUGAGACACGGCCCAGACUCCUACGGGAGGCAGCAGUGGGGAAUUUUGGACAAUGGGCGAAAGCCUGAUCCAGCAAUGCCGCGUGUGUGAUGAAGGCCUUCGGGUUGUAAAGCACUUUUGGCGGGAACGAAAAGGACUGUGCCAAUACCACGGUUCGAUGACGGUACCCGCAGAAUAAGCACCGGCUAACUACGUG